AUUGAACGCUGGCGGCAUGCUUUACACAUGCAAGUCGAACGGUAGAGGGGGCAACCCCUUGAGAGUGGCGAACGGGUGAGUAAUGCAUCGGAACGUGCCCAGCCGUGGGGGAUAACGCAGCGAAAGCUGUGCUAAUACCGCAUACGAUCCGUGGAUGAAAGCGGGGGACCGAAAGGCCUCGCGCGAUUGGAGCGGCCGAUGUCAGAUUAGGUAGGUGGUGGGGUAAAGGUUCACCAAGCCAACGAUCUGUAGCUGGUCUGAGAGGACGACCAGCCACACUGGGACUGAGACACGGCCCAGACUCCUACGGGAGGCAGCAGUGGGGAAUUUUGGACAAUGGGCGCAAGCCUGAUCCAGCAAUGCCGCGUGCAGGAAGAAGGCCUUCGGGUUGUAAACUGCUUUUGUACGGAACGAAAAGGUCUGGGUUAAUACCCUGGGCACAUGACGGUACCGUAAGAAUAAGCACCGGCUAACUACGUGCCAGCCGCCGCAGUAA
This 496-nucleotide ribosomal RNA is filed under the name uncultured bacterium. RNAcentral's name for it is "partial 16S ribosomal RNA". It matches the Rfam family "Bacterial small subunit ribosomal RNA", at positions 29 to 523 of the family's 1533-position model. The record is from RNAcentral.